ACGCUCGACACCUACGGGAGCAGCAGUCGGGAAUAUUGCGCAAUGGAGGAAACUCUGACGCAGUGACGCCGCGUAUAGGAAGAAGGUUUUCGGAUUGUAAACUAUUGUCGUUAGGGAAGAAAAAAGACAGUACCUAAGGAGGAAGCUCCGGCUAACUACGUGCCNNNCGCCGUAGUAUNGCGGCGNGNGACGAG
This 194-nucleotide ribosomal RNA is filed under the name uncultured bacterium. RNAcentral's name for it is "partial 16S ribosomal RNA". It matches the Rfam family "Bacterial small subunit ribosomal RNA", at positions 328 to 538 of the family's 1533-position model. The record is from RNAcentral.